Molecule: small RNA, 142 nt
Filed under: Klebsiella pneumoniae
Lineage: Bacteria; Pseudomonadati; Pseudomonadota; Gammaproteobacteria; Enterobacterales; Enterobacteriaceae
Description: RtT sRNA
Rfam family: RtT RNA
About the family: This family represents a bacterial cis-regulatory element known as RtT RNA. The exact function of RtT is unknown although it is thought that it may be involved in changing the cellular response in relation to amino acid starvation.
Source: RNAcentral
UAUUCUGCCCUACAGGGAAGGAUGAGAAGCUUCGACUAAGGUUCGACUAAGGUUCGACUCGAGCGAAGCGAGAGAACGUUGCCGCAGGCAAUGGCCCGAAGGCGAGGCGCUUUAGCGCCGAGUAAUCCUUCCCCCACCACUG